ACGGAUUGUGCAGAACUUGCCACCACGAAAAACUCAGAGAAGCUCAAUUCCACUGAAAAGAGGCCGGCAGCUUCUUAAAACAUUGGAAGACUACGCUAGACCAUCAGAUCAAAUUGCUGAACUAACAGCGUACCAAAAUGGAUAAAAGACGCAGAUUGACCAGCCCACGUUUUCAUCCAC
Long non-coding RNA from Alosa alosa (allis shad), 180 nucleotides. RefSeq lists it as uncharacterized. The record is from RefSeq and is a predicted model, not a curated record. The transcript is spliced from 3 exons. Lineage: Eukaryota; Metazoa; Chordata; Actinopteri; Clupeiformes; Clupeidae.